This 253-nucleotide ribosomal RNA is filed under the name uncultured bacterium. Its description in RNAcentral is "partial 16S ribosomal RNA". It matches the Rfam family "Bacterial small subunit ribosomal RNA", at positions 524 to 776 of the family's 1533-position model. The record is from RNAcentral.
UACGAGGGGGGCGAGCGUUGUUCGGAAUUAUUGGGCGUAAAGGGUGCGUAGGCGGCCUGACAAGUCUGAUGUGAAAUCCCUGGGCUCAACCCAGGGCCUGCAUCGGAAACUGUCGGGCUUGAGUAUGGGAGAGGUGAGUGGAAUUUCCGGUGUAGCGGUGAAAUGCGUAGAUAUCGGAAGGAACACCUGUGGCGAAAGCGGCUCACUGGACCAUUACUGACGCUGAGGCACGAAAGCUGGGGGAGCAAACAGG